CAGGUGCUGCAUGGCUGUCGUCAGCUCGUGUUGUGAAAUGUCGGGUUAAGUCCCGCAACGAGCGCAACCCUUAUCCUUUGUUGCCAGCGGUCCGGCCGGGAACUCAAAGGAGACUGCCAGUGAUAAACUGGAGGAAGGUGGGAUGACGUCAAGUCAUCAUGGCCCUUACGACCCAGGGCUACACACGUGCUACAAUGGCGCAGUACAAAGAGAAGCGACCUCGCGAGAGCAAGCGGACCUCAUAAAGUGCGUCGUAGUCCGGAUUGGAGUCUGCAACUCGACUCCAUGAAGUCGGAAUCGCUAGUAAUCGUGGAUCAGAAAUGCCACGGUGAAUACGUUCCCGGGCCUU
RNAcentral lists this ribosomal RNA (349 nucleotides) under uncultured Enterobacteriaceae bacterium. RNAcentral describes it as "bacterial SSU rRNA". It matches the Rfam family "Bacterial small subunit ribosomal RNA", at positions 1035 to 1382 of the family's 1533-position model. Lineage: Bacteria; Pseudomonadati; Pseudomonadota; Gammaproteobacteria; Enterobacterales; Enterobacteriaceae. The record is from RNAcentral.